This 498-nucleotide ribosomal RNA is filed under the name uncultured Desulfobulbus sp. RNAcentral's name for it is "bacterial SSU rRNA". It matches the Rfam family "Bacterial small subunit ribosomal RNA", at positions 904 to 1382 of the family's 1533-position model. The record is from RNAcentral. Lineage: Bacteria; Pseudomonadati; Thermodesulfobacteriota; Desulfobulbia; Desulfobulbales; Desulfobulbaceae.
CCCGCUCAGAAACUCAAUGAAUUGACGGGGCCCGCACAAGCGGUGGAGUAUGUGGUUUAAUUCGAUGCAACGCGAAGAACCUUACCUGGUCUUGACAUCCCGGAGACCCUUAGGAAACUAGGGGGUGCUUCCAUCUGGAAGAAUCUGGAGACAGGUGCUGCAUGGCUGUCGUCAGCUCGUGUCGUGAGAUGUUGGGUUAAGUCCCGCAACGAGCGCAACCCUUGCCUUUAGUUGCCAGCAGUUCGGCUGGGCACUCUAAAGGGACUGCCGGUGUUAAACCGGAGGAAGGUGGGGAUGACGUCAAGUCCUCAUGGCCUUUAUGACCAGGGCUACACACGUACUACAAUGGCCGAUACAAAGGGCAGCGACACUGCGAGGUGAAGCCAAUCCCGUAAAAUCGGUCUCAGUCCGGAUUGGAGUCUGCAACUCGACUCCAUGAAGUUGGAAUCGCUAGUAAUCGUGGAUCAGCAUGCCACGGUGAAUACGUUCCCGGGCCUU